UCCCUGGUGGCUCAGACAGUAAAGAAUCUGCCUGCAAUGCAGGAGACCUGGGUUCAAUCCCUGGAUUGGGAA
This 72-nucleotide transfer RNA is filed under the name Capra hircus (goat). It matches the Rfam family "tRNA". From Rfam's summary of the family: Transfer RNA (tRNA) molecules are approximately 80 nucleotides in length. Their secondary structure includes four short double-helical elements and three loops (D, anti-codon, and T loops). Lineage: Eukaryota; Metazoa; Chordata; Mammalia; Artiodactyla; Bovidae. RNAcentral also lists the same sequence under 1 other name. The record is from Rfam by way of RNAcentral.